GACGAACCGAGCGAACGUUAUUCGGAAUCACUGGGCUUAAAGGGCGCGUAGGCGGGCCGCCAAGUCAGGGGUGAAAGCCCCCAGCUCAACUGGGGAAGUGCCUUUGAUACUGGCGGUCUCGAGGGGGAUAGGGGCGUGCGGAACUUCCGGUGGAGCGGUGAAAUGCGCAGAUAUCAGGAGGAACACCGGUGGCGAAGGCGGGUCUCUGGGCCGAUACUGACGCUGAGGAGCGAAAGCGUGGGGAGCGAACAGG
This 253-nucleotide ribosomal RNA is filed under the name uncultured bacterium. RNAcentral describes it as "partial 16S ribosomal RNA". It matches the Rfam family "Bacterial small subunit ribosomal RNA", at positions 524 to 776 of the family's 1533-position model. The record is from RNAcentral.